Molecule: unclassified non-coding RNA, 288 nt
Filed under: rhizosphere metagenome
Description: partial ribosomal RNA internal transcribed spacer region
Source: RNAcentral
GUAGGUGAACCUGCGGAAGGAUCAUUAUUGAAUAAACUUGGUUGGGUUGUUGCUGGCUCUCAGGAGCAUGUGCACGCUCGGUCAAAUUUUAACCACCUGUGCACACACUGUAGGCCUGAAUGAAAUUUGUCGAGGAAAAAACUCGGUUUGAGAACUGCUGAGCUGUUCUUGCAUUUCAGGUCUAUGUUUCAAACAUAUACUCCAUAUACAAGUAAUAGAACGUUAAUUAUUGGCCUUCUUGUGCCUUUAAACCUAAUACAACUUUCAACAACGGAUCUCUUGGCUCUC